Molecule: ribosomal RNA, 253 nt
Filed under: uncultured bacterium
Lineage: Bacteria
Description: partial 16S ribosomal RNA
Rfam family: Bacterial small subunit ribosomal RNA
Source: RNAcentral
UACAGAGGUCCCAAGCGUUGUUCGGAUUCACUGGGCGUAAAGGGUGCGUAGGCGGUCGGGUAAGUCUGACGUGAAAUCUCCGGGCCUAACCCGGAAACUGCGUUGGAAACUGCCUGGCUAGAGGAAUGGAGGGGAGACUGGAAUACUUGGUGUAGCGGUGAAAUGCGCAGAUAUCAGGAGGAACACCGGUGGCGAAGGCGGUUCUCUGGGCAUGUCCUGACGCUGAGGAGCGAAAGUGUGGGGAGCGAACAGG